Molecule: ribosomal RNA, 389 nt
Filed under: uncultured bacterium
Lineage: Bacteria
Description: bacterial SSU rRNA
Rfam family: Bacterial small subunit ribosomal RNA
Source: RNAcentral
AUUGAACGCUGGCGGCAUGCCUUACACAUGCAAGUCGAACGGCAGCACGGGAGCAAUCCUGGUGGCGAGUGGCGAACGGGUGAGUAAUAUAUCGGAACGUGCCCAGUCGUGGGGGAUAACGUAGCGAAAGCUACGCUAAUACCGCAUACGAUCUAUGGAUGAAAGCGGGGGAUCGCAAGACCUCGCGCGAUUGGAGCGGCCGAUAUCAGAUUAGGUAGUUGGUGAGGUAAAGGCUCACCAAGCCGACGAUCUGUAGCUGGUCUGAGAGGACGACCAGCCACACUGGGACUGAGACACGGCCCAGACUCCUACGGAGGCAGCAGUGGGGAAUUUUUGGACAAUGGGCGCAAGCCUGAUCCAGCAAUGCCGCGUGCAGGAUGAAGGCCUUC